Molecule: ribosomal RNA, 2292 nt
Filed under: human gut metagenome
Description: bacterial LSU rRNA
Rfam family: Bacterial large subunit ribosomal RNA
Source: RNAcentral
AGCGAAAGCGGAGGAGCCCAAAUGGGGAGGAAUUGCGCGAUUCGGAGGGGAACGGCCUGGGAGGGCCGGCCACAGAGGGCGACAGCCCCGUACCCCGAGAAGGACGCAUGUCUCCCCGAGAGAGUACGCCGGGUCACGAGAAACCCCGGCGGAAGACGGCGGGACCACCCGCCAAGGCUAAACACAGACCAGUGACCGAUAGCGAACAAGUACCGUGAGGGAAAGGUGAAAAGAACCCCGGGAGGGGGAUGAAAAGAUCCUGAAACCGCAUGCCGGCGACCGGACCGAGGGCGUCGAAGCCUGAGGUCGUGCCUAUUGAAGAAUGAGCCUGCGAGUUGUCGAUGCCAGCGAGGCUAAGCGGAAGACGCGGAGCCGCAGGGAAACCGAGCCCGAACAGGGCGCGAGUUGGCACCGGCAGACCCGAAACCCGGCGAUCUAGCCAUGGCCAGGAUGAAAGAGGGGCGAAACCCUCCGGAGGUCCGAACCGACGUUCGUUGAAAAGACCGCGGAUGAGCCGUGGCUCGUGGUGAAAUUCCAAUCGAGCCGGGUUAUAGCUGGUUCUCCCCGAAAUAGCUCUUGGGCUAGCCUCGGGGCUGUGCGCCGACGGAGGUAGAGCCACCGAUGGGGCGAGGGGCGCGUCGAACGCCUUCGAGCCCCGCCGAACUCCGAAUGCCGCCGGCGAAGCCCCGGGAGUCGGUCUGCGGGAGAUAAGUUCCGUGGACGAGAGGGAAAGAGCCCGGACCGCCGAUUAAGGCCCCAAAGUGCGCGCCGAGUGCUGAGAAGGAGGUGGGGCGGCUCAAACAGCCAGGAUGUUGGCUCAGAGGCAGCCAUCAUUCAAAGAAUGCGUAACAGCUCACUGGUCAAGCCGCCCCGCGCCGACAAUUUACCGGGGCUAAAGCGCGCCGCCGAAAUCGCGGGAUCCGUAGGAUCGGUAGGGGAGCGUCGCCUGUGCGGCGAAGCGGGACCGCGAGGGCCCGUGGAGCGCAGGCGAGCGAGAAUGCAGGCGUUAGUAGCGACGGGGGGUGGGAAUCCCCCCAGCCGGAUGGCCGAGGUCUCCCGGGCGAGGUUCGUCCUCCCGGGGUCAGCCGGGGCCUAAGACGAGGCCGAGAGGCGCAGUCGAUGGGAAUGCGGCGAAGAUUCCGCAGCCCGUCCGCGUGGCGAUGACCGUGACGGGGGUGGCAAGGCAGCCCGGGCGAUCGGAAGAGCCCGGCGGCCGGCGCGCAGGGGCGGGGGAGCCAAAGCUCUUCCCCGGAUGCCCCAGGGCCGGACGGGAGGAAAGCGGGAGACCGCGAGUACGAAGGCGCCGGGGACACCCUCCAGGAAAAGCGGCUAGCGUCAGAGCGCGGGCGGCCCGUACCAAGAACGGACACACGUGGCCUGGGCGAGAAGCCCGAGGCUAGCGAGACAACUGUUGCUAAGGAACUCUGCAAGACUGCUUCGCAAGCUAGCGAGAAGAAGCGCCCGGGGGCGAACAGCCCCGCGGGCCGCAGCGAAGAGGCAGGGGUGACUGUUUACCAAAAACACAGCUCUGUGCGAAGCCGCAAGGCGACGUAUACGGGGUGAUGCCUGCCCGGUGCUGGAAGGUUAAGGGGAGGGGUCAGGCCGCAAGGCCGAAGCCCCGAGCCGAAGCCCCAGUGAACGGCGGCCGUAACUAUAACGGUCCUAAGGUAGCGAAAUUCCUUGUCGGGCAAGUUCCGACGCGCAUGAAUGGUAUAACAAUCCCUGCACUGUCUCGGCAGCAGACUCGGCGAAAUCGUAAUACCGGUGAAGAUGCCGGUUACCCGCGACUAGACGGGAAGACCCCAUAGAGCUUCACUGCAGGUCGGCGCUGGGCUGGCCAGCGGCUCGCACAGGAUAGGAGGAAGGCUUCGAUCCGGGACCCCUGGGCCCCGGGGAGCCGUCGUUGGGAUACCUCCCCUGCCGCUAGCCAUCCCUAACCGGGACCCUGGACGGGCCCCGGGACAGCGCCCGCCGGACAGUUUGACUGGGGCGGUCGCCUCCCAAAGAGUAACGGAGGCGUUCGAAGGUGCCCUCGGCACGGUAGGAAACCGUGCCAUCGAGUGCAAACGCAUAAGGGCGCCUGACUGCAAGGCCGGCAGGCCGAGCAGACGCGAAAGCGGGAGUUAGUGACCCGGCGGUUCCAGCGUGGAAUGGCCGUCGCUUAACGGACAAAAGCUACCUUGGGGAUAACAGGCUGAUCCGGUCCAAGAGUUCACUUCGACGACCGGGUUUGGCACCUCGAUGUCGGCUCAUCGCAUCCUGGAGGGGCAACACCUUCCAAGGGUUUGGCUG